Molecule: transfer RNA, 75 nt
Filed under: Corynebacterium heidelbergense
Lineage: Bacteria; Bacillati; Actinomycetota; Actinomycetes; Mycobacteriales; Corynebacteriaceae
Description: tRNA-Trp
Rfam family: tRNA
About the family: Transfer RNA (tRNA) molecules are approximately 80 nucleotides in length. Their secondary structure includes four short double-helical elements and three loops (D, anti-codon, and T loops).
Source: RNAcentral
AUGCCCGUAGCUCAAUUUGGCAGAGCAACUGUUUCCAAAGCAGGCGGUUGCAGGUUCGAGUCCUGCCGGGCGUGC